Long non-coding RNA from Pomacea canaliculata, 1044 nucleotides. RefSeq lists it as uncharacterized. Lineage: Eukaryota; Metazoa; Mollusca; Gastropoda; Architaenioglossa; Ampullariidae. The record is from RefSeq and is a predicted model, not a curated record. The transcript is spliced from 8 exons.
UCGAGCCAGCAAGUGUGGAUACUCUCAAGCAGCAGUCACAAACCUGAAGACAGGCGGCUCAAGGCAAAGGGUCGUUGUCAAAGUAGCAGUGGAGUUUGCAAGCCUCAGGAGUAAAUGAACAUCCCUAUUUUCAAUCACUCUGCUUACCUUCCUAGUCUAAGAGGGGCACUAGAAAAAACUCAGCCUUCUUUUUCACCCUCGCCAGUAUACCACGGCUACUACAGAUCUCCAGCAGCGUUCCAAACAGAAAAUGAGCAAGAUUUUGAUUUUCUACGAAAAUGUGGGAUCUACUGCAAGUACGAGCGGUCACUACACAUCCGCUGUGAUAACAGAAAAGAUCGACAACAGACAAGUCUGUGAAAUUUAACCUCUCAUAGGGAAGAUUCGAAUCCGAAUUCGUUUUAGCAUGUAAGCAAGUCACUGAGAUGGAAGCUACAGCAACAUCCAGCCCCUCAUCUUUCAAACUUGCGCUGGUCAGCUGCUUGAUAUUCCUUGGUCUGCUCGCUUGCUGCUCUGGUGUAAUGAAAAGCAAGGAAUUUAAAGUCUCAUGUCAGAGCUAUUAUUUAAAAAACACAUUAGGAGCUAUAACAUGUGAGGUGAACUCUGAGAUGUUAAAAUACCAGUGCCAAUAUACUUCCCAACGUCUUCUUCAAGUUAAAGUAAGUAAAGACAUAAUCAGUAAAUGCGUCAAGACAUCUGUGGCUGACUUACGUGAAUUGCAAAGGAAAGGAACCAUCAAACGGAGCUUUCAACUGUGAAGAAAAGGGAAACAUAGUGAAAUUAACUGCCAUUUUAUUCCAACUGAAAGCGACCAAGGAAGAGAAGCAAGCUGUGUCCUUCAAUGCGACAAUCGUACCAGGGACGUAGUCUAUAGAUUUCUCAUUACCGAGACCUGCCUUUUGAAGAUUGUAGUAGUGGCGUGGCUGAUAUGGAAAAAUUGUCUCCAGGGCGAGAAAGAAGGUGACUCAGAGCCAAAAGCAGAAGGUGAAAUGAUGGCAGAAGGGAUACAACAAGAGCAAGAAUCAAGAGUUUGAGAAGAAGCAG